Pelobates cultripes (western spadefoot toad) is the source of this 218-nucleotide non-coding RNA. Lineage: Eukaryota; Metazoa; Chordata; Amphibia; Anura; Pelobatidae. The record is from the annotation of a GenBank genome assembly.
GCCCUGAGCUGGACAUAGAGAUCACCACAGUGGUGUUGAAUCCUGGGAUAUGUGUCAUCUUGUCAGGGAGAAAUGGGCGAAGGCCUUCAGGCCGGAGACGAGCAUGCACCUCUUUUUCCAUAGGUUUUGUAACCAGGAAAGUAUGAAGUGUGCCAGAUAGUCUGGCUGUCCCCAUUCAAAAAAUCUUGGGUGCCUGAUCGUGUGGUAUCAAACAUGGG